UACAUAGGUGGCAAGCGUUGUCCGGAAUGACUGGGCGUAAAGAGAGCGUAGGCGGUGAUAAAAGUUAUAUGUGAAAGCCCUUGGCUUAACCAAGGAACUGCAUAUAAUACUGUAUUACUUAGAGUAUGGGAGAGGAAGAUGGAAUUUCUAGUGUAGCGGUUAAAUGCUUAGAUAUUAGAAGGAACACCGGAGGCGAAGGCGGUCUUCUGGCCCAAUACUGACGCUGAGGCUCGAAAGCGUGGGGAGCAAACAGGAUUAGAUACCCUGGUAGUCCACGCCCUAAACGAUGAAUACUAGACGUAGGAGGUAUCGACUCCUUCUGUGUCGCAGCUAACGCAAUAAGUAUUCCGCCUGGGUAGUACGGCCGCAAGGUUGAA
Molecule: ribosomal RNA, 377 nt
Filed under: uncultured bacterium
Lineage: Bacteria
Description: bacterial SSU rRNA
Rfam family: Bacterial small subunit ribosomal RNA
Source: RNAcentral